CUUAAACACAUGAAGCCAAAUGUCGUCAAGUUAUAAUAUUAAAAACCAUACUUCAAAAUGUAGUUCAUAAACAAAUCCCUGUAAGACACACAGAGAGAAAAUUGACGCCUCCUAACUGCUUCACCAGAAACACUCCAGCGACCACAUGACAGUUAUCAACUUACCCAGUUAAACCCUUUACCACUUAGAUACGUAUUUUGACGCAUUUGUAGUCCCUUUGAAACUUACAUUUUAUUCAGGUCCUUUCUUACUCAAUUCACGUUUUAAAGGCUUCAUUUCCAACCCUUAGUUACUGAUGAGCAGCAAACAGAAUAAAACCUGAACAGACUGCAAGAUACUCACAGGCUGUCCUGGUUUUGUGCUGCUUGCAAAAGGGUUUAUAGCGAAAUGUAUUCAAUGAAGGAAUUUAUUAUAGAAAUAUUUCUGGUGUUGGAAACUUUUAUUUGAAAAUUGUAGGCCGUCAUUUGGGUAAAAAUAUCAUUUGGGGAAAAAUAUACUAAUUUAUAUGCUUUGAGAUUGAAAAUGGGGGCCAAAGUUUGAUCACAAAUAUGGUUAAAAAACACUGUGUUCAUGUAUACAUAAUUAUUCAUAUUCACAAACAAGUCCCUUAGACACAUGAAGCGAUAUUUUGUCAAGUUACUAUAUAACAUUACUAAAUAUCAUACUUGAAAAUUCCGAUGAAAAACAUACAUAAUUCUAUGAACAAGUCCCUUUACGACGCAUGUAGAGGAAGAUGAGGCAUGUUCACAGCUAUAUCAGACACAGUCCAGCGACCAUAUGACAAGUGACAUCUAUAUUUAGAAGCUUUACACACUCCAUAAGACCUAUGACAUCUACAUUUCCAUAUGUCAGGGACUGUCCAGUCAGACAGCUCUAGUGUUAUACAGACAUCCACAAGUCACUGGGUGUGGAGAAUGUGAGAUAUUGUGAGGACAACCUGAGGGCAAUGUGAUGUCAGAAUGUCUGUCAAUGUGACCAACAGUUGAUAGACGUGUUUAAUAUGAGGAAAUAGUAUGAAACUACUGCUGAAACCCUGGCACAUUGCACAGUGCAUGAGUGCUUCAACACACAAUGUCCAUGUCUAUGAACAGACAGACAGGCAGACAUGGUGAAUCUGAUACAUCCCUCAACUCACUGUGGGUUAAAGGGUUUCAUUAAUAUACCUUUAAAGCUUAUUCAAUGCUGCGAUUGUAUGCAACUUACUUUUUAACAUGGAAUAAAUAUUUUGUGUUGUAACAUAUUACGUAGGUUUAAUAAUACAAGAGCACUGCAUAAUAUUUUUUUUAGAGGUCACAAUGACCUUGACCUUUGACCUAGCGACCCCAAAAUGAGUGUGGCGUGUAGAACUCAUCAAGGUGCAUCUACAUAUGAAGUUUCAAAGUUGUAAGUGGAAGCACUUUGAUUUUAGAGCCAAUGUUAAGGUUUUAGCACGACGCGGACGGCAGACGACAAGCUGGCUAUGAACAAGAGCAGUCCGAGGACAUCGCGCUUGACUAUUCGAGUGCUUGACAGUAUAACGUUGGGGUCAUGUUGGUAAACAAGUAUGCAAAAUAUGAAAGCAACAUGUCAAGGGACAAUGAAAAUAAUUGGAGUAGUACGAAAACUUUAACAUUUGCGAGCUAACACAGACGAUCACGCAGACGCUGGGAUCAUCAUUAAACAAAACAAUAAUAUUGUCAACAUUGCGUAUUGGAAAUGGUGUGCUGCCUAGCUACCAGAUCGCCACCAAAGAGACCAAGUACUGGUUCUACCCACGAAACAGACUUGCGAGCGUUUCAAUAAGCCUUGGACUUUUGAUGCAAUUAAGCUCAAAUAAAUAGGUCUACAAUAAACUACCAAUUAUUUCAUAGUUUCUUAGUCAUUUUUCUGGUUUGAAAACUAAUUACUAAGCUUUCUUUUUUGUAUACAUGUAGGUGACUUAAGUAAUUCUUGAAAAUUUGUUAUUGCCAACAUGAGAACAAAUAAAAAUACGCUAACUCACUAACAUUUCCAGCAUCACUAGCAACUAACAUUAAAUAGGAUAAAUAAAUGGGAGGAAAAUCAGGUAAUAUUAAGUGUUCUCCGGAAGCACCGGCAGCUGGGGAUUUCAUUAUUUCUAGAUGCCGACUACUUUAAAAUAUCAAUUGAAAUAGUGGACAUACACCAGUUUUAUUGCUUAGAUGCCGGCUACUUUAAAAAUAUAACUGGCUUCUGAAAUUUUUCUGAACACUGUAAUAUUGCUUCAGGUAGUAUUCAACCAAUAUUAAACAUUAGAGAUUAGAAACAUAGAAUCAGUUUAGUUACUAAAUACUGUAAAAUCAUGUAAAUUUUUCGGCGUGAAAUUUAGUGUUUUUCACAAAUGACCAAAACUAUUUUUGAUAUAAGAUUCUGAAAAUAAAGAGAAAUUUUCCAGGUAAUUUUCAGAAAUGUUUGUUUUAAAUAUGUGGACAGGUCAACUUGAGAAAUCAACGAAAAUUAAUGUCCAACAAAUAAUAAUGAUUUUACAGUAUUAAACAAAACACAAUGCUAAUUUGAAGAAUUGGAAAGCGGAUGAUUGUUGUCAAGGGAUUAUUGCAGAGGGAUUGUUGUCAAGGGAUUGUUGCAGGUUCUCAAGGGAGUAUUGUUGGGGGGGGGAUUGUUUUGCAGACACCCUUGUCUCUUUACUGGCAAGCUGCUUUGGAAGGGGUCUACAAAGGAAAGAUCUAUAGUAACAGAGCACUGAUUUAUGCUCCUUUUUUCUGUCACCCCCAUCCCUACUCUGGACAAGUCAAAAC
Molecule: long non-coding RNA, 2753 nt
Organism: Dreissena polymorpha
Lineage: Eukaryota; Metazoa; Mollusca; Bivalvia; Myida; Dreissenidae
Exons: 3
Source: RefSeq, a predicted model, not a curated record